UGGUCCUACGGGGCGCAGCAGUGAGGAAUAUUGGUCAAUGGGCGGGAGCCUGAACCAGCCAAGUCGCGUGAGGGACGACGGUCCUAUGGAUUGUAAACCUCUUUUGUCGGGGAACAAAGGCGCCCACGGGUGGGCGGAUGAGUGUACCCGAAGAAAAAGCAUCGGCUAACUCCGUGCCAGCAGCCGCGGUAAUACGGAGGAUGCGAGCGUUAUCCGGAUUUAUUGGGUUUAAAGGGUGCGUAGGCGGACAGUCAAGUCAGCGGUAAAAUUGAGAGGCUCAACCUCUUCGAGCCGUUGAAACUGGU
RNAcentral lists this ribosomal RNA (305 nucleotides) under uncultured bacterium. RNAcentral's name for it is "bacterial SSU rRNA". It matches the Rfam family "Bacterial small subunit ribosomal RNA", at positions 334 to 637 of the family's 1533-position model. The record is from RNAcentral.